UGCAAGCGUUACUCGGAAUUACUGGGCGUAAAGCGUGCGUAGGUGGUGAGUUAAGUCUGUCGUGAAAGCCCCGGGCUCAACCUGGGAAUGGCGAUGGAUACUGGCUCGCUAGAGUGCGGUAGAGGAGAGUGGAAUUCCCGGUGUAGCAGUGAAAUGCGUAGAGAUCGGGAGGAACAUCAGUUGCGAAGGCGGCUCUCUGGACCAGCACUGACACUGAGGCACGAAAGCGUGGGGAGCAAACAGG
This 244-nucleotide ribosomal RNA is filed under the name uncultured bacterium. Its description in RNAcentral is "partial 16S ribosomal RNA". It matches the Rfam family "Bacterial small subunit ribosomal RNA", at positions 533 to 776 of the family's 1533-position model. The record is from RNAcentral.